GACGAACGCUGGCGGCGUGCUUAACACAUGCAAGUCGAGCGGUAAGGCCCUUUCGGGGGUACACGAGCGGCGAACGGGUGAGUAACACGUGGGUGACCUGCCCUCAGCUCUGGGAUAAGCCUGGGAAACUGGGUCUAAUACCGGAUAUGACUCCAUGACGCAUGUUGUGGGGUGGAAAGCCUUGUGCGGCUGAGGAUGGGCCCGCGGCCUAUCAGCUUGUUGGUGGGGUGAUGGCCUACCAAGGCGACGACGGGUAGCCGGCCUGAGAGGGCGACCGGCCACACUGGGACUGAGACACGGCCCAGACUCCUACGGGAGGCAGCAGUGGGGAAUCUUGCGCAAUGGGCGAAAGCCUGACGCAGCGACGCCGCGUGA
This 375-nucleotide ribosomal RNA is filed under the name uncultured bacterium. RNAcentral's name for it is "bacterial SSU rRNA". It matches the Rfam family "Bacterial small subunit ribosomal RNA", at positions 28 to 404 of the family's 1533-position model. The record is from RNAcentral.